UACAGAGGGGGCAAGCGUUAUUCGGAAUUAUUGGGCGUAAAGGGCGCGUAGGCGGCUUCGCAAGUGACGGGUGAAAUCCCUCGGCUUAACCGAGGAACUGCCUGUCAAACUGCGUGGCUUGAGACCAGGAGAGGUGAGUGGAAUUCCCAGUGUAGCGGUGAAAUGCGUAGAUAUUGGGAGGAACACCAGUGGCGAAGGCGGCAUCCUGGACCAAUAUUGACGCUGAGGAGCGAAAGCCAGGGGAGCAAACGGG
This 253-nucleotide ribosomal RNA is filed under the name uncultured bacterium. RNAcentral's name for it is "partial 16S ribosomal RNA". It matches the Rfam family "Bacterial small subunit ribosomal RNA", at positions 524 to 776 of the family's 1533-position model. The record is from RNAcentral.